Molecule: unclassified non-coding RNA, 206 nt
Filed under: Hevea brasiliensis (rubber tree)
Lineage: Eukaryota; Viridiplantae; Streptophyta; Magnoliopsida; Malpighiales; Euphorbiaceae
Source: RNAcentral
AGAGGGACAUUUUUGGAGGGACUGGCCAGAGUUUAAGCCACGUCUCUUAAAAAAUGAAAAAAUUAGAGUCCACCUCGUUAGGCAUCAUGUAAGUGGUAACGAGAGAUCUCGACUUUGAAUUCUCGGAAUCGCGUUCGUCAAGAAACAAGAAAGACUUUAUAUUCAUAAUCUGUUAUGUUUAAAAAAAUCUUAGUAGAUAAUUCGAU